Nomascus leucogenys (northern white-cheeked gibbon) is the source of this 611-nucleotide long non-coding RNA. RefSeq lists it as uncharacterized. Lineage: Eukaryota; Metazoa; Chordata; Mammalia; Primates; Hylobatidae. The transcript has 2 exons. The record is from RefSeq and is a predicted model, not a curated record.
CUCCCCCGAAGGCAGCAUCGCGGAGGAGACCAAGCAGAAGCUGAAGUCAGCCAUCCUUUCUGCCCAGUCUGCUGCCAACGUGAGGAAGGAGAGCCUAUGCCAGCCGGCCCUGGAGGUCCUGGAGACAUCCAGCCAGGAGUCCUCGCUGGAGAGCGAGACAGACGAGGACGACGACUACAUGGACAUUUGAGGGGCCACUGCAGCCACACUGCCACGUCCCAGGGGACCAGCCAGGCCUGGAAUGCCCCCUAUGCCUGGACCAGAGGACCACAUGGAUGCCACUCCCCACACAGCUCCCAGGCCUGCCCAGCCCACCUCCUCAUGGCAUCCUCCCUGUACCCAGGUCAGGCUGUCCACACCGCAUGGGAGCCCAGAGGAGGAGGGGCCCGCCUUAGCCAUGUGAAGGUGGAUUGGUCGCCAUCGGCACACCAGGCGGCAUCCUUUUCUAUGAAAUGUUGACUUGGUAAAUCUGCCCACACCCAGCUGGCCAUGUCCACCCCUCGACGCCGGGAUGAGCCGGCUCUGCCUGUGUCACAGUGCAGGGGGUCUUUAGGGCCAGGCUCGCCCCUCACCCGUUUUUUGGUUGCUUUUCUAAUAAAGAUGGAACAGUU